Molecule: ribosomal RNA, 445 nt
Filed under: uncultured bacterium
Lineage: Bacteria
Description: partial 16S ribosomal RNA
Rfam family: Bacterial small subunit ribosomal RNA
Source: RNAcentral
GUGAGGAAUAUUGCGCAAUGGAGGCAACUCUGACGCAGCCAUGCCGCGUGCAGGAAGAAGGCGCUACGCGUUGUAAACUGCUUUUAACCGGGAAGAAACCCCAGGACGUGUCCUGGGUUGACGGUACCGGAGGAAUAAGCACCGGCUAACUUCGUUCCAGCAGCCGCGGUAAUACGAAGGGUGCAAGCGUUAUCCGGAUUCAUUGGGUUUAAAGGGUGCGUAGGCGGAGCGUUAAGUCAGUGGUGAAAUGCUGCAGCUUAACUGUAGACUUGCCAUUGAUACUGGCGCUCUUGAGUGCGCUUGAAGUGGGCGGAAUGUGCCGUGUAGCGGUGAAAUGCUUAGAUAUGGCACAGAACACCAAUUGCGAAGGCAGCUCACUAAGGCGAUACUGACGCUGAGGCACGAAAGCGUGGGGAUCGAACAGGAUUAGAUACCCUAGUAGUCC